Molecule: ribosomal RNA, 468 nt
Filed under: uncultured bacterium
Lineage: Bacteria
Description: partial 16S ribosomal RNA
Rfam family: Bacterial small subunit ribosomal RNA
Source: RNAcentral
GACGAACGCUGGCGGCGUGCUUAACACAUGCAAGUCGAACGGAAAGGCCCUGCUUUUGUGGGGUGCUCGAGUGGCGAACGGGUGAGUAACACGUGAGUAACCUGCCCUUGACUUUGGGAUAACUUCAGGAAACUGGGGCUAAUACCGGAUAGGAGCUCCUGCUGCAUGGUGGGGGUUGGAAAGUUUCGGCGGUUGGGGAUGGACUCGCGGCUUAUCAGCUAGUUGGUGGGGGAGUGGCUUACCAAGGCUUUGACGGGUAGCCGGCCUGAGAGGGUGACCGGCCACAUUGGGACUGAGAUACGGCCCAGACUCCUACGGGAGGCAGCAGUGGGGAAUAUUGCACAAUGGGCGGAAGCCUGAUGCAGCAACGCCGCGUGCGGGAUGACGGCCUUCGGGUUGUGAACCGCUUUCGCCUGUGACGAAGCGUGAGUGACGGUAAUGGGUAAAGAAGCACCGGCUAACUACGUG